This 563-nucleotide ribosomal RNA is filed under the name Boletus sp. MHM165. Its description in RNAcentral is "eukaryotic LSU rRNA". The stretch from base 243 to 397 matches the Rfam family "5.8S ribosomal RNA". The record is from RNAcentral. Lineage: Eukaryota; Fungi; Basidiomycota; Agaricomycetes; Boletales; Boletaceae.
AGGAUCAUUAUCGAUGCAAGAGCAAAGGGGGGAAUGCGGGGAGAUUGUCGCUGGCAAGUUCUUGCUUGCAUGUGCACGUCCGUCGUCUACCUCUUUUGUUCAUACACUAUAUUUCACACCUGUGCACCUGUUGUAGGUCGCUCGCAAGAGUUGAUCUAUGUUUUUCUACACCCCAUUAUCGUAUGUCCAUAGAAUGUCUCAAAGACCUCGACCUCCGGGUCGUCGCUCUUAUGAAUUUAUACAACUUUCAGCAACGGAUCUCUUGGCUCUCGCAUCGAUGAAGAACGCAGCGAAUUGCGAUAAGUAAUGUGAAUUGCAGAUUUUCAGUGAAUCAUCGAAUCUUUGAACGCACCUUGCGCUCCUUGGUAUUCCGAGGAGCAUGCCUGUUUGAGUGUCAUUAGUAUUCUCAACCCGUGUUUUGCUUUGACAUUCACGGGAUUGGAUUGUGGAGGUUGCUGGUGGCGAAACGCUGUCAGCUCUUCUGAAAUAUAUUAGCAAAGGACAAGCAAGUCUUGCGUGCACGGCCUUCGACGUGAUAAUGAUCGUUGUUCGCUGGAGCGUCA